UACUUUGUGGGACACUGACCACUCUGACUGGACUUUCCUUUGGCAGAGUCUUUGGAUUCGUGGCCCGGAAGCAGGGCAGUGCCACGGAUAAUGUGUGCCACCUGUUUGCAGAGCAUGACCCUGAGCAGCCUGCCAGUGCCAUUGUCAACUUCGUAUCAAAGGCCCAUGAGGGGAAAGAGGAUCUUCCAGCUCUGCAAAAACAAGAACAAACAACAUCACCGUGAAUUGGCCUUUCCUGAAAGUGACUUAUCUGACACAUCUCUGUAGCCACAUGCUUUUUGGGUAGAAGAAGCUGGGCAUGGGUGCACCCCACCUCCUAGGGUCCCCAUGGGAAAGGGACAUGCAAGGAAACAGCACAGAACACGAGGUGGUCCCCACGUCCCUGGCACACCAGCAUUCCAGGGGAUGAGGAAUCCCCAGCCCUUGAGGCAGAGGUGCCGAGUGACUGCCAUGCUUCGCCCAUCCGCAUGGGCGCUUCUGUCCAGCUGCACCCGAGGCCGGGGGUUUCCCUCACCUUGGUCUUCCCAAGAUGGAGAUGCUAACGAAACUGAGAAGGGGGCGUAUGUUUGACGAAGGUUUGUGCAAGUCAGGCCCUUCUGGAACACAGCAGGGCCUACAACGAGGGGCCUUUGCGAUGGGCUGUGAGGAUGGGGGUGGUGGGAAGAAUUGGCCACGUUAGAGACCCCAUGCCACCCCACCAUGGUGAGUGCUCUGUGCCUCCUGCUCACCUGUGGCGAGCUGGGCGAGCUGGGCGAGCUGGGCUGGGGAGAGCCUGUGAGGACCGAGAGGAGAAAUGAGAAGAAGGAACAAAAAUAUUAUUUCUAUGUAAUUUAUAUUUUACUUAUGCCAAAUUAUUUAUGAUAAUUUGCCAUUGCUAUAUUGUACCAGUGUCAAAUGCUGCAGCCUGCCAAGCUGUGAUUUUGUGAGGCUUGUCCCUAUGUAGGAUGCACCGCAGGCCCCUGGCCACUGAAAGAGUGUGCAGUGGACUGUGGGUCUCCCAUAUGCGGUGCCGCCCAAAGGUGGCUUUGCCUCAAGCAACCUACCCUGAUGUUUUACUCAUUGGAAUGUUUUUCCCCGAUUGUGGAUGACUUCUUUUCUGAUGGAGAGAGUCCAGGAGGGAUGGAAAACGCCUGGAUUUAAGCUCAGCAUCCCCCACAUGGGCUUUUCGAUCAUCUUCAGGCCUGAAGCUGCACGACCUGAAGUUAUUUAUCAGCCCUCUUUGUGCUGCUCCUUGCCACCUUGGGGUUCCUGCUGGGGACCAUGUGUGGUUGUGGCAUGUGUGAGCAGAAGGGAGGAUGAGGAAAAAGAGAAGAAACCCCGGUACUGACAAGCUGUUUUUGAGUGCCACUGUUUGCCAUCAUCUAAGCCACUGAAUCAAGUGUAUUUCAGGCUUAUUUCAACAUUCCAAUGCCCUGGUUUUCCUGCUUGAAUCUGUUCGUGGUCAAAGGUUUGGGGGAAUUUGUGACCCUGGAACAUCCCCAGAGUGAAAGAUGGAGCUGGGCCACAUCAGAAUAAGGCCUUGGCCCCAUCCUCUCACAGCCUAGGUGCUCUGCAGGCAUGCUGACUGUCCUGAUUGCGAUCCAGCCCGAAAUUCCCUCCUCUGCUUUCAAAAGUCAAAUCCCCCAUUCUUAGGCCACACUGGUGUCACAAGCUCCUGUCAGGGAGCUGGGGUUUGGGAAUGUGCUUUGUGAACUCUGCUUUAAAGUGAGGGGCCGAGGAAAACUUAGAAACAGGCAGAGUUGGAAGCAGCCAAAUCACAGUGGGUGUUGUGUGUGUGUGCGUGUGUGCAUGUGUGCGUGUAUGCGUGUGUGAAAGCAGGUGGACCAUUCCACUUUUUAGCUCCUAUUGAUGCACCAAACCAAGUGCCUCAUUUCUGUGCCAAAUGUUUGCCUUGGUCGUUGUGGACCUCCUUCUCUAACUUGUGGUGGCAUGACUGUCAGGAGGUGCUGGCAUUUUCAGCAGAUCUCAUGUGUUGACCCUGAUGUCUUUAGCAGAGGCCUCUAGCAUCUCGGUUUUUCAUCCACUGCAGGAAUGUGGCCACAGGGAGCAGAGGUUUGUACUUUCCCCAAGAGGUCCUCAUCCUGAGACGGUCUCUACCCAUGUUUAACCCAAAGAGUGCAGGCCAGGUUCCUUAUCCUUCUGAUGAAGGAUGAGAGAGCUCAUUUAGAAGUCAGAGCAAACUAGGGUCUCAGUAUUGAGAAACGCAGCCUGCCAGGGAAUCACAGAGACAACGGGGUGCCCGCGAUGGCCCUCAUGAAGCCAUGCCUCGACGGCAUUCAGGAAGCCCUGCCAACGUGCUUUUUGAACUCAUUGUCCAGGUGUGAUUUUUACACAAGGUAAACGUGGUCAAGGGCAUCGGGGAAUUUGCUCCAAGCAGAUAGCUCCCUCUGAGGAACCAAAGGAAGCAAGUUUCCACGAUUUCUGAAGAGCUGGUAUAGGAAGUUUCUUUCUUCCUUUUGUGUUACAUGUGCAUUAAACAGAACAAGCUGUGUGUCAUCACAGAUUGUACUGUGGGCUCAGAAACCGUGAGAGAGCCCCCACCGUGGACACCGGCUCUAGGGCCACGGGAAAAGGAACGUUUCCAGGCAUUUUGUCUCCAGGGCUCCCGCUGGACAGGCGCGUACUGCCCUGGGGAGUAAAUGCGGAGAGUUCACGAACUGUGCCCAACGCAUGUUAUAGCCAGGGUCCUACUAACUACUCAGUAAAAGAACGUAUUGUUGUAUUCCUCCAGUGUUAAGCUAUAGCCAUGUUAAAAGUCACUGUGCAUUUAUUCUCAGCAUCAAAUACCUUGUAACGUCUUCUCUGCCUUGUUAGUGCAUAUUUUUACUUUUCUGAUACUGUAAAGAAUAUAUCCAGUAUGUAAAUGAAUGUUCUAUAAAUCCUUUGUAUAGUCAUUUUCUCUGCUCUUUAAAUAUCAUCUCUAUUCAGAGUAUAAUAAAAUUAUGAAC
This 2948-nucleotide long non-coding RNA is filed under the name Pan troglodytes (chimpanzee). RNAcentral describes it as "long non-coding RNA NONPTRT016151". Lineage: Eukaryota; Metazoa; Chordata; Mammalia; Primates; Hominidae. The record is from RNAcentral.